UACGAAGGGGGCUAGCGUUGCUCGGAAUCACUGGGCGUAAAGGGUGCGUAGGCGGGUCUUUAAGUCAGGGGUGAAAUCCUGGAGCUCAACUCCAGAACUGCCUUUGAUACUGAAGAUCUUGAGUUCGGGAGAGGUGAGUGGAACUGCGAGUGUAGAGGUGAAAUUCGUAGAUAUUCGCAAGAACACCAGUGGCGAAGGCGGCUCACUGGCCCGAUACUGACGCUGAGGCGCGACAGCGUGGGGAGCAAACAGG
This 253-nucleotide ribosomal RNA is filed under the name uncultured bacterium. RNAcentral describes it as "partial 16S ribosomal RNA". It matches the Rfam family "Bacterial small subunit ribosomal RNA", at positions 524 to 776 of the family's 1533-position model. The record is from RNAcentral.